AGCUGGGGAGCUACCACAACAGACGGAAGAACCAGAUCCAAUGAUAUGUGUAAGAAGAAUAAUUUCAGUGCAAUUGAAAGAACAGAUGCACAAUUGACUCUGUCAAGUGAUGGAAUGACCCGUCUCAAAUAAAGCCAAUGAGAGUUGCUCUUCAAGCUGAAACUUCAGCCCAAAUCAACUUUUACUCUCAUAAUGAUGAAAAGGAAACUGGCAGCUGCUUGGGGCAUAACAACCAACACAUCCUUUGAUCUGAUCUUUUUCUGCAUCCUCACUUCUUUAUGACUCCUCCAUUACUUAGAGAUUGAAGGCUGGAGUGCAGUGGCAUGAUCACAGCUCACUGCAGAUUUGAUCCCCUGGGGUCAGGAGGUCCUGGUACUUCAGCCUCCCGAGUAGCUGAGACAGACGACUACAGCACGGAGUGAGGAUAGAAUAUAUUAUCAAUAGCUACAGCUAUUUCUAUCGAUGAUGAAGUUUCCAGACCUCAGUGCACAAGAUACUGAUCUACGUCAUCCACUGACUCAUUCAACAAACAUGUGCUGAGUACUGGGCCCUGAGCUAGACACAGAGAUAAAUGGAACAUAACCCUGGAUCUCAAAGAUCUUCCAUCCACUGGAGCUGAUAAUGCAUUGUAUCAUUUAAGGAUGCUCUUGGCUGCAAGUAACAGGAAACCUCAACUCAAAAUAGCUGAACAAUGAGGACACCUACAGAAAUGCAAAUUUACAGGAGUGGUGAGCUUCAAGGAUGGCCCAUCUGGUGACUCAGUAAUGGCCAAGAAUCCAGGUGCCAUCUGGUUGCUUCACUCUGCUUUCCAUAAUUUUGACCUCAUCCUAAGACAGCAUGCACUCACAAUUGCAGGAUGGCUCCUAGUAGCAGUUUUGGCUACAUGCUUUUCUAUUCAUGCAUGACUGGAGAGAGUAAGCUUGGCCUCUCAUAGGUCUCUUGGUGCUAAGAGGAACUUUCCCGGAAGCUUCUAACAAACUUCUCUUUAUGUCCUGCUGGACAUAGUUGGGGCACAGAUCCCUUACUAAACCAGUGUGGAAUGGGACCCAUCAGCCUGUACCUCUGCCCCUGAAUUCCUUUCCUUUAUCUGUUCCUCCCUACGUGAGUGAAUGGGACCACCAUUCUCCAGUUGCUCAGCCAAAAACCACGAAGUCAUUCUUAACUCCUGCCCUUGAUCCAAUCUCCUCAACUAAUCCACCCUCACUCAUCCCUGACUGUUAGGGUUGAAUUGUAUCUAACCUCACACCUCCAGAUUUAUAUACUAAAGUCCUAACUCCCCAAACCUCA
Long non-coding RNA from Homo sapiens (human), 1287 nucleotides. RefSeq annotates it as SLC2A9 antisense RNA 1. The record is from RefSeq and is marked validated. The transcript is spliced from 5 exons. NCBI's taxonomy places the organism in Eukaryota, Metazoa, Chordata, Mammalia, Primates, Hominidae.